RNAcentral lists this ribosomal RNA (248 nucleotides) under Unio mancus mancus. Its description in RNAcentral is "partial 28S ribosomal RNA". It matches the Rfam family "Eukaryotic large subunit ribosomal RNA", at positions 44 to 282 of the family's 3401-position model. The record is from RNAcentral. Lineage: Eukaryota; Metazoa; Mollusca; Bivalvia; Unionida; Unionidae.
UACUAAGCGGAGGAAAAGAAACUAACAAGGAUUCCCCUAGUAACGGCGAGUGAAGAGGGAAAAGCCCAGCACCGAAUCCCACAGCCUUGCACUGUCGGGAACUGUGGUGUAUAGGAAGCCUACUUGUCGGCGUGUUCGGGUACCCAAGUCCUCCUGAUCGUGGCCUCUCCCAUAGCGGGUGUCAGGCCCAUACAGGCACCCGACGGCGUCGGCUUGGAGCUUCCUCGGAGUCGGGUUGUUUGGGAAUG